AUUGAACGCUGGCGGCGUGCCUAACACAUGCAAGUCGAGCGGCAGCGCGGGAGCAAUCCUGGCGGCGAGCGGCGGACGGGUGAGUAACGCUUGGGAAUCUGCCUAUUAGUGGGGGACAACCCGGGGAAACUCGGGCUAAUACCGCAUACGCACUACGGUGGAAAGCCGGGGACCGCAAGGCCUGGCGCUAACAGAUGAGCCCAAGUCGGAUUAGCUAGUUGGUAGGGUAACGGCCUACCAAGGCGACGAUCCGUAACUGGUCUGAGAGGACGACCAGUCACACCGGAACUGAGACACGGUCCGGACUCCUACGGGAGGCAGCAGUGGGGAAUAUUGGACAAUGGGGGAAACCCUGAUCCAGCGACGCCGCGUGGGUGAAGAAGGCCUGCGGGUUGUAAAGCCCUUUCAGUGGGGAAGAAAAGCCUCGACCUAAUACGUCGGGGUCUUGACGUAACCCAUAGAAGAAGCACCGGCUAACUCUGUGCCAGCAGCCG
RNAcentral lists this ribosomal RNA (494 nucleotides) under uncultured bacterium. RNAcentral describes it as "bacterial SSU rRNA". It matches the Rfam family "Bacterial small subunit ribosomal RNA", at positions 29 to 517 of the family's 1533-position model. The record is from RNAcentral.